Molecule: ribosomal RNA, 252 nt
Filed under: uncultured bacterium
Lineage: Bacteria
Description: partial 16S ribosomal RNA
Rfam family: Bacterial small subunit ribosomal RNA
Source: RNAcentral
UACGUAGGGGGCAAGCGUUGUCCGGAAUUAUUGGGCGUGAAGCGCGCGCAGGCGGUUCUUUAAGUCUUGUGUUUAAGGCCGGGGCUCAACCCUGGUACGCAUGGGAAACUGGAGAACUGGAGUGCAGGAGAGGAAAGUGGAAUUCCACGUGUAGGGGUGAAAUGCGUAGAGAUGUGGAGGAACACCAGUGGCGAAGGCGGCUUUCUGGCCUGUAACUGACGCUGAGGCGCGAAAGCGUGGGGAGCAAACAGG